RNAcentral lists this ribosomal RNA (448 nucleotides) under Edwardsiella tarda. RNAcentral's name for it is "bacterial SSU rRNA". It matches the Rfam family "Bacterial small subunit ribosomal RNA", at positions 998 to 1447 of the family's 1533-position model. Lineage: Bacteria; Pseudomonadati; Pseudomonadota; Gammaproteobacteria; Enterobacterales; Hafniaceae. The record is from RNAcentral.
CUGUAGAGAUAUGGGAGUGCCUUCGGGAACGCUGAGAAAGGUGCUGCAUGGCUGUCGUCAGCUCGUGUUGUGAAAUGUUGGGUUAAGUCCCGCAACGAGCGCAACCCUUAUCCUUUGUUGCCAGCGGUUCGGCCGGGAACUCAAAGGAGACUGCCAGUGAUAAACUGGAGGAAGGUGGGGAUGACGUCAAGUCAUCAUGGCCCUUACGAGUAGGGCUACACACGUGCUACAAUGGCGUAUACAAAGAGAAGCGACCUCGCGAGAGCAAGCGGACCUCAUAAAGUACGUCGUAGUCCGGAUUGGAGUCUGCAACUCGACUCCAUGAAGUCGGAAUCGCUAGUAAUCGUGGAUCAGAAUGCCACGGUGAAUACGUUCCCGGGCCUUGUACACACCGCCCGUCACACCAUGGGAGGGGUCCCAAAAGAAGUAGCUAGCUUAACCUUCGGGA